This 147-nucleotide non-coding RNA is filed under the name Nomascus leucogenys (northern white-cheeked gibbon). Lineage: Eukaryota; Metazoa; Chordata; Mammalia; Primates; Hylobatidae. The record is from Rfam by way of RNAcentral.
GCUGGGCGUGGUGGCGCACGCCUGUAGUCCCAGCUACUUGGGAGGCUGAGGCAGGGGAAUCACUUGAAUCCAGGAGGCAGAGACUGCAGUGAGCUGAGAUCAUGCCACUGCACUCCAGCCUGACAACAGAGUGAGACUCUGUCUCAA